RNAcentral lists this ribosomal RNA (253 nucleotides) under uncultured bacterium. RNAcentral's name for it is "partial 16S ribosomal RNA". It matches the Rfam family "Bacterial small subunit ribosomal RNA", at positions 524 to 776 of the family's 1533-position model. The record is from RNAcentral.
UACGUAGGGUGCGAGCGUUGUCCGGAAUUAUUGGGCGUAAAGGGCUCGUAGGCGGUUUGUCGCGUCGGGAGUGAAAACACCGGGCUUAACUCGGUGCUUGCUUCCGAUACGGGCAGACUAGAGGCAUGCAGGGGAGAACGGAAUUCCUGGUGUAGCGGUGAAAUGCGCAGAUAUCAGGAGGAACACCGGUGGCGAAGGCGGUUCUCUGGGCAUGUCCUGACGCUGAGGAGCGAAAGCGUGGGGAGCAAACAGG